Long non-coding RNA from Perca fluviatilis (European perch), 680 nucleotides. RefSeq lists it as uncharacterized. The record is from RefSeq and is a predicted model, not a curated record. NCBI's taxonomy places the organism in Eukaryota, Metazoa, Chordata, Actinopteri, Perciformes, Percidae. The transcript is spliced from 3 exons.
AGAUAAGUUUUUGCCAUAACUAUGAAAAGUCAUUGCCCAUUAUAUGGCGUGGUAAACAUCCUUUCACAUGUGUAUGUAUUUUUCAUAGUAUGCUUCAACAGAAGUCACCUGGUAGUUUGUUUAUUUAAUUUUUUGGACAUUUGAUUGCCUUUAAUUGAUAGGACAGCUUAGAUAUGAAGGUGGGGGGGGGAGAAGGGAGGGAUGACAUGCAGCAAAGGGCCACAGGUCGGAGUCUUACCUGUGGCCACUGCGUCAAGGAGUAAAGCGUGUUAUACUGGACGCAGCGCAGCUGGCGCAUGCAAAUGUGACCUCAUGAGAUCGCCGUGAGUAUUUAUACCUGCGCUGGUGGUCGCGACACUAGUUGCAGUCUUCUCCUGAACAGCGGCGGCGCUAAUGAGCAAAUGCUACCGACGCUGCUCUUUCUACUGACUAGAAGAAGAAGAAAACCUCCUCAUAUGGGCGCCCAUAUAUAUAUAUAUAUGUCAAUGGCGCCCACUCUACCAGGAGGACUUCUGUUGACGAAUGAGGCUGUUCUCAUGAACCAUUCGUACAUAUCGCUACGAGAAAGCAUUAUGUACAGCAGUGGACGGCUCACUCUCCGGUGAAGGUGUUGAUCGGCAGCGACAGGACUUUGUCCACAUACUUGCUGAACAGCUGCUCUCGCUCCUGGCUCACACUGA